AUGGCCAAGAUCUCCUUGUAAACAGAGUGAUAAUGCUUUUGAGCAUUUUGGAAUCUCCAAUGGAAUGACCACAAAUGUACUUGUCACCAUUUACUUCUUUUAUCAGAAUGGCUCCCCAAUGCGUGAAGAUUCAAAUUCAGAGUCUGAAGCCCAAUAUCCUUCAUAGCUAGCCCAAAACAUCCAAAGUACCCACAUCACUCAUAGCCCAAACACUAUUCCUAUUCCUUUGGUCAACAUACAUAUUUUGCCCAGUAAAUAUUCUAGGCCCGUUUCAGUCAUUGGAUUUUUGGAUACUGUAGCCCAUAAGAGCAUAAUGAACCCGGCCAUUCUUCCAUCUGAAAG
Molecule: unclassified non-coding RNA, 342 nt
Filed under: Hevea brasiliensis (rubber tree)
Lineage: Eukaryota; Viridiplantae; Streptophyta; Magnoliopsida; Malpighiales; Euphorbiaceae
Source: RNAcentral